Molecule: transfer RNA, 125 nt
Filed under: unidentified cloning vector
Description: tRNA precursor
Rfam family: tRNA (bases 41-122)
About the family: Transfer RNA (tRNA) molecules are approximately 80 nucleotides in length.
Source: RNAcentral
CUUCCCGAUAAGGGAGCAGGCCAGUAAAAGCAUUACCUGUGGUGGGGUUCCCGAGCGGCCAAAGGGAGCAGACUCUAAAUCUGCCGUCAUCGACUUCGAAGGUUCGAAUCCUUCCCCCACCACCA